CCCUUAGAUGUUCUGGGCUGCACGCACGCUACACUGACGCACGCAACAGGUGCCUGCUCCGAGAGGACUGGGUAAUCAUUUGAGUGUGCGUCGUGAUGGGGAUAGAAUAUUGUAAUUAUUACUCUUCAACGAGGAAUUCCUAGUAAGCGCCAGUCAGCAGCUUGCGCUGAUUACGUCCCUGCCCUUUGUACACACCGCCCGUCGCUCCUACCGAUGGGUGAUCCGGUGAAUGAUUCGGACUUCAGCGGCUCCCCUGGGGUGCGCCGGAGAAAGUUUUGUGAACCUUAUCACUUGGAGGAAGGAGAAGUCGUAACA
Molecule: ribosomal RNA, 315 nt
Filed under: uncultured eukaryote
Lineage: Eukaryota
Description: partial 18S ribosomal RNA
Rfam family: Eukaryotic small subunit ribosomal RNA
Source: RNAcentral